Molecule: ribosomal RNA, 253 nt
Filed under: uncultured bacterium
Lineage: Bacteria
Description: partial 16S ribosomal RNA
Rfam family: Bacterial small subunit ribosomal RNA
Source: RNAcentral
UACGUAGGUGGCAAGCGUUGUCCGGAUUUAUUGGGCGUAAAGAGCGCGCAGGCGGUCGUUCAAGUCGCGUGUGAAAGCCCCCGGCUCAACUGGGGAGGGUCACGCGAUACUGAUCGACUCGAAGGCAGGAGAGGGAAGUGGAAUUCCCGGUGUAGUGGUGAAAUGCGUAGAUAUCGGGAGGAACACCGGUGGCGAAGGCGACUUCCUGGCCUGUUCUUGACGCUGAGGCGCGAAAGCUAGGGGAGCAAACGGG